Molecule: ribosomal RNA, 749 nt
Filed under: Peribacillus simplex
Lineage: Bacteria; Bacillati; Bacillota; Bacilli; Caryophanales; Bacillaceae
Description: bacterial SSU rRNA
Rfam family: Bacterial small subunit ribosomal RNA
Source: RNAcentral
AUACAUGCAAGUCGAGCGAAUCGAUGGGAGCUUGCUCCCUGAGAUUAGCGGCGGACGGGUGAGUAACACGUGGGCAACCUGCCUAUAAGACUGGGAUAACUUCGGGAAACCGGAGCUAAUACCGGAUACGUUCUUUUCUCGCAUGAGAGAAGAUGGAAAGACGGUUUACGCUGUCACUUAUAGAUGGGCCCGCGGCGCAUUAGCUAGUUGGUGAGGUAAUGGCUCACCAAGGCGACGAUGCGUAGCCGACCUGAGAGGGUGAUCGGCCACACUGGGACUGAGACACGGCCCAGACUCCUACGGGAGGCAGCAGUAGGGAAUCUUCCGCAAUGGACGAAAGUCUGACGGAGCAACGCCGCGUGAACGAAGAAGGCCUUCGGGUCGUAAAGUUCUGUUGUUAGGGAAGAACAAGUACCAGAGUAACUGCUGGUACCUUGACGGUACCUAACCAGAAAGCCACGGCUAACUACGUGCCAGCAGCCGCGGUAAUACGUAGGUGGCAAGCGUUGUCCGGAAUUAUUGGGCGUAAAGCGCGCGCAGGUGGUUCCUUAAGUCUGAUGUGAAAGCCCACGGCUCAACCGUGGAGGGUCAUUGGAAACUGGGGAACUUGAGUGCAGAAGAGGAAAGUGGAAUUCCAAGUGUAGCGGUGAAAUGCGUAGAGAUUUGGAGGAACACCAGUGGCGAAGGCGACUUUCUGGUCUGUAACUGACACUGAGGCGCGAAAGCGUGGGGAGCAAACAGGAUUAGAU